UACGAAGGGUGCUAGCGUUGUUCGGAAUCAUUGGGCGUAAAGCGCGUGUAGGUGGCUUAUUAAGUCGAGUGUGAAAUCCCUGGGCUCAACCGAGGAAGUGCAUUCGAAACUGAUUAGCUAGAGGACGGUAGAGGAAGGUGGAAUUCCAAGUGUAGAGGUGAAAUUCGUAGAUAUUUGGAGGAAUACCGGUGGCGAAGGCGGCCUUCUGGACCGGUCAUGACACUGAGACGCGAAAGCGUGGGGAGCAAACAGG
Molecule: ribosomal RNA, 253 nt
Filed under: uncultured bacterium
Lineage: Bacteria
Description: partial 16S ribosomal RNA
Rfam family: Bacterial small subunit ribosomal RNA
Source: RNAcentral